RNAcentral lists this ribosomal RNA (795 nucleotides) under uncultured bacterium. Its description in RNAcentral is "bacterial SSU rRNA". It matches the Rfam family "Bacterial small subunit ribosomal RNA", at positions 691 to 1482 of the family's 1533-position model. The record is from RNAcentral.
UAGAUUUUAGGAGGAACACCAGUGGGGAAGGCGGCCUUUCCUGGACCAUAACUCACGCUGAAGGCGCGAAAAGCCUUGGGGAGCAAACAGGAAUUAGAUACCCUUGGUAGUCCACGCCUAAACGAUGAAAUACUAGGUGUGGGGGGACUGACCCCCUCCGUGCCGCAGUUAACACAAUAAGUAUUCCACCUGGGGAGUACGAUCGCAAGGUUGAAACUCAAAGGAAUUGACGGGGGCCCGCACAAGCAGUGGAUUAUGUGGUUUAAUUCGAAGCAACGCGAAGAACCUUACCGGGGCUUGACAUCCAACUAACGAAGUAGAGAUACAUUAGGUGCCCUUCGGGGAAAGUUGAGACAGGUGGUGCAUGGUUGUCGUCAGCUCGUGUCGUGAGAUGUUGGGUUAAGUCCCGCAACGAGCGCAACCCUUAUUGUUAGUUGCUACGCAAGAGCACUCUAACGAGACUGCCGUUGACAAAACGGAGGAAGGUGGGGACGACGUCAAAUCAUCAUGCCCCUUAUGUCCCGGGCUACACACGUAAUACAAUGGCGUCCAACAGAGGGAAGCAAUACCGCGAGGUGGAGCAAAUCCCCAAAAGACGUCUCAGUUCGGAUUGCAGGCUGCAACUCGCCUGCAUGAAGUCGGAAUUGCUAGUAAUCGCGGAUCAGCAUGCCGCGGUGAAUACGUUCCCGGGCCUUGUACACACCGCCCGUCACACCAUGAGAGUCGGGAACACCCGAAGUCCGUAGUCUAACCGUAAGGAGGGCGCGGCCGAAGGUGGGCUUGAUAAUUGGGGUG